This is a long non-coding RNA of Arachis duranensis, 652 nucleotides long. RefSeq lists it as uncharacterized. NCBI's taxonomy places the organism in Eukaryota, Viridiplantae, Streptophyta, Magnoliopsida, Fabales, Fabaceae. The transcript has 3 exons. The record is from RefSeq and is a predicted model, not a curated record.
AGUAUGUUGAUCUGAGAUAAGUUAUCAUACAUCAAGAAUGGGUUCAGGCGAUUGGUUUAAGACAUUAAUUUCAAGAAAAUCGAAAGAAAGAAAACCCAAGAAAGGAAAGGGUACUUUAGCUUCAACGAAAUUAAGUGCACUGAACUCAAAUGAUUGUACAAGAAGAGACUCUAGUGACUUAGCAAAUGGUGCUAAAGCUGAAAAUAUUGGGUCAGUUGAAACUUUGCUGCAACAAGAAUCCAGACUGCAUUCCGGGCUUAUAAGGUAAAGCUUUGAGAAUAUCAUCUGCUGGUUUUUUCUUUAUUUAUUGUGGAUGCUGACUUUUAAACUUUUCAAGCUAGAAAGGCUCUACGCCGCUUGAAAGGGAUCAUAAAACUGCAGAUUGUAACACAGAGUUACUCGGUUAAAAAGCAAGCCAAUACUGCUAUAACUUACCUUCAUUCAUGGAGCAAGAUACAGACUGAGAUUAGAGCUCGAAGAAUCUAUAUAGUGACUGAAGACAGGAUCAGGCAGAAAAAACUAGAAAAUUAGCUUAAACUUGAGGCAAAGCUGCAUGAUCUGGAGGUUGAAUGGUGUAGUGGUUCUGAAACCAUGGAGGAGAUUGUUGGAAGGAUACAUCAGAGAGAAGAAGCAGCUGUUAAGCGUGAAAGAG